GGAGACGUGGCCGAGCGGCUGAAGGCAACGGUUUGCUAAACCGUCAUAGGUGUUAAAGCUUAUCGAGGGUUCGAAUCCCUCCGUCUCCGCCA
RNAcentral lists this transfer RNA (92 nucleotides) under Alphaproteobacteria bacterium. Its description in RNAcentral is "tRNA-Ser". It matches the Rfam family "tRNA". From Rfam's summary of the family: Transfer RNA (tRNA) molecules are approximately 80 nucleotides in length. Their secondary structure includes four short double-helical elements and three loops (D, anti-codon, and T loops). The record is from RNAcentral. Lineage: Bacteria; Pseudomonadati; Pseudomonadota; Alphaproteobacteria.